This 240-nucleotide ribosomal RNA is filed under the name uncultured bacterium. Its description in RNAcentral is "partial 16S ribosomal RNA". It matches the Rfam family "Bacterial small subunit ribosomal RNA", at positions 15 to 241 of the family's 1533-position model. The record is from RNAcentral.
GAUCAUGGCUCAGGAUGAACGCUAGCUACAGGCUUAACACAUGCAAGUCGAGGGGCAGCAUGGACUCAGCUUUGCUGGGUUUGAUGGCGACCGGCGCACGGGUGAGUAACGCGUAUCCAACCUGCCCUUUACUCCGGGAUAGUCUCCUGAAAGAGAGUUUAAUACCGGAUGUGUUUGUCUUUCCGCAGUGGGAGCGACAAAUAAAGAUUGAUUAGGUAAAGGAGUGGGGAUGCGUCCCUA